GGAUUAUAUGGACUUGUAACCAGAGUUAGAUAAUUUGCCACUACUUCAUUGUGAAUUUUUGGCAGGCGAUAGUAGGCAUUAGCCAUCAAGUAAUUUAAAUUUGGCAAUUAAUAGGUACUAUCUCUCUCUCACACACACAUCAAUGCAAUUAAUAGGUAUAUAUGUCUACGAUUCAAUUAUUAAGCACGUAACAAAAGAACCCAAAAAAAAAAUAAAAAAAUUUGGAACACAAAACCUUUCAACUAAUCAGAUUUGAAUCCUCUCUAUUUUGAUUCUCUUUGUUUAAUUGUUUGAAUUACAUAAAAAUUGAUUUUUAAAAGCAUGGUCGUUUUUGAGAUUUUGGUAGCUCAUAGCGAAAAAUAAAAGCGAGGUCCUUUUCAAAAUUAAUAUUGUCUUCACAAAAAAAAUUAAAAUAAAUAAAAAAAAAGUACAGGUUAUAUCUAAAAAAAUGUCUUUCUAAAACUUAAAACAUAAUAGUUGGACUACAAUAAAAUAUAUAAGAAUUUCGACUACAACAAAAUAUAUGAGAAUGCAUUCAUUGAAAGAUACUUCUUCGAGUAAUAAUUUCUAGAGGCAAAAUUUUCAAUCAAAUGUUCAAAAUCAAGUUUGACCAGCAUAUCCUUCUCGAUGCACAUGGUUGCGAACCAAUUGAACCUUUCUUGUGUCGUAGUCGACCGUAAGUAAUUUUUUAACAAUUUCAACUUUAAAAAAUUUCUUUCAGCAAAUGUCACUGCAUGUCACAAGAAUAGUUAGUAAUACCCUGUAAGCUAAAACAUUAGGAAAACAAUCCAAAACUUUUAAAAACUUCAAAAAAUUAAUUUCAACUGCUGACUCUAUUUUUCUUGACAAAGUCACACACACACACACACACACACACACACACACACAUAUAUAUAUAUAUAUAUAUAUAUAUAUAUAUAUAUAUAUAUAUAUAUAGCUUGUUUCGGGCGCAUAUCCCUUUAUUUUAUAUACCCUGCUCACCAUUUGUAGCGACGGACCGGGCGACGGUUUGGUCCGUCGCUAUAGAACAAAUAAACGGUUUAUAUAGUAUGGCGACAGUUCGAUGCGUCACUAAAAGCUAAGACGACGGUUCUCUAAUAUAUAUACGCGACGAACCGAACUGUCGCGCCUGGUCCGUCGCUAAAGGUGGUGAGCANNNNNNNNNNNNNNNNNNNNNNNNNNNNNNNNNNNNNNNNNNNNNNNNNNNNNNNNNNNNNNNNNNNNNNNNNNNNNNNNNNNNNNNNNNNNNNNNNNNNAUAUAUAUAUAUAUAUAUAUAUAUAUAUUGGGUCCCCUAUUCGAGGGCUCAGGACAGUAGACCCUUACGCCCGUGUUCAGGAACGAUCAUAUUUAGAAGGCUCGAAAUGAUUGGGAAAGAUCAAACUUUAGAAUUAAGUUCAACGACAUGCAUGCAUUACCGUCACUAUAAGAAGGAAAAGCUAUUACAAAAUUGAAUUUCAUAGUUUGUUAGAGGGAGGGAUAGUAUUAUAUAACUAGUGUCGCAAUAUCUCAAAGAUUAGUUGGGUAAUUAUAUUUUCAGUUAUUUAUUUUUCAAAAUUGACAUUUAAGUUUGUAAUGGAGAGAAUGUAUUUUGAUCCCUUGUGCAAGUAAUCCAUUUAAUUCUUGUAAAUCAGACAUAUAUAUGCAGUCACAUGGUAUGACUCAGAUGAUAAAAUUUCAAGAUUAAGCUUGCAGAAUUAAAUAAUCAAAAGGGACCUCUAAUUAGUAAUUGUAGUAUCUAGUGCUACAUGUGGAAGACAAAAAAGAUCUAAUCUCCCAAAAUAAAUUAGAAACUAAGUUGGAUCAAGUAAUUAUUCCAACUUGACGUACAAUGGGAGUUAAUAUUAGCGGGAAAAAAUUAUUGCCAUAGGGCAUUCAAUUGUUUGUAUACGAACAAAUCUACUCCUAACAUUUAACUUUGAUUAUGGCAAUUGUGGUUGGCGGAACUAGAACCCUUUUGUAGGAGGGUCAAAAUUUUUAAACCAAACGAAUCGAAAUUAUUAAUACCACCACUUGUUUCGGAACUUGGUAAUUGAUUAUUAGAAGAAUUAAGCGAGUAUUUAUCCAUAAUCUAGUAUAAAUAAAAAACAUCAAUUGCUAAUCAAUAAUUUCAUCAAUUUAAACAUUUCAUAAUAAUUUCAUCAUUCAUCAAUUCAAUUAUUCAAACCUUUUAUCAUAAUUUUAUCAAUUAACCUAAACAAUUAACUUUUGGUUGUGUUUGGACCAAAAAUGGUACCACAACAGAUACUCAGUUUCAGUGUGUUUGUUUGUGAAUCAAUCUCUUGAACUUGUAUGUUUGUUUUCUAAAUUUCAGUUUAAUUUUUUUACCACCCUUCUUUACAACCUGCAAAAUUCCCAAUUACUUCGUGUAAAAAAAAAUAGUUCAAUUUGACAAAGAAAAAAAUAAUUAAAAAAUGUUGCACAAAAAGAGUAUAAUAGCAGCAACUAACAAAACCAAAUUAUAUUCCACAAAGAGUAAUUAAUAGCAGCAAAAGUAAUUGAACUGUCUAGCUAAAUAACAAUUAACAAAACAGUUAGUAAUUCAAGAAAAAUUUGCUUCAAAGUUCAAAUCAAAAAAAAUAAACCUGAUGAGUGAUUGAUGAGUGAUGAGGUGAAGAGGAGAGGAGGACUGGAGGAACAGUGCAGGAGCAGCUGAGCUGGAGCAGUGCAGGAGCAGACGAGCAGAUCUGUACGCGAAAGAUGCGAAGAGACAUGAUUAGGAACUCAGAGGUGAGACUUUGAG
Molecule: long non-coding RNA, 2741 nt
Filed under: Panax ginseng (ginseng)
Lineage: Eukaryota; Viridiplantae; Streptophyta; Magnoliopsida; Apiales; Araliaceae
Description: long non-coding RNA (PGIN_LNC001970)
Source: RNAcentral